Bombina bombina (fire-bellied toad) is the source of this 291-nucleotide long non-coding RNA. RefSeq lists it as uncharacterized. NCBI's taxonomy places the organism in Eukaryota, Metazoa, Chordata, Amphibia, Anura, Bombinatoridae. The transcript has 2 exons. The record is from RefSeq and is a predicted model, not a curated record.
UUAGGUGAAGGGAUGAGUUCAGAUGAUAGUCAGCCAAGAAUUUAACUUUCAAGAACAAAAAUGGAAGAUAAAGAUGUAUCGUCAAUAUCAACUGCUGAACUGCAGAAAAAAAGCACUCAGAGUUGUCUUGAAGAUAAUUUUAAAAACAAAAUGGCUAAAAUUAGGGCAACUUUGUGAAUGUUAUUGGAGUAAGUCGAUUUACUUUACCGAAGAUAUGUUAUUUGAUUUGAUACUCUGAUUUUGAUAUGAAAAAAAAUGUUAUCUAAUUAUCAUAAUAAAUGAUAAAACAAA